Molecule: non-coding RNA, 237 nt
Organism: Cinara cedri
Lineage: Eukaryota; Metazoa; Arthropoda; Insecta; Hemiptera; Aphididae
Source: the annotation of a GenBank genome assembly
GAAACGUACUAAUCUUGGAUCUGAAGUUUUACGGAUAUCGAAAUCAAAACUGUACAUUAUCGAUUUUUAAGCGCUUUCUAAUUUAUUUGGUUUUUUCGCGUGUGCAUUGGAUUUCGAAAUUCGUUUCGAUUUGUAUAGUUAAUUAUUUCAAAUGCCUUUAAAAACCGGGAACCGUGCACGUUUGGAAAAUGGACUUUCAUCAAUUUUGUUUAUUCAAUUUUACAUUUUGAUUGGAAC